RNAcentral lists this transfer RNA (73 nucleotides) under Phrynosoma platyrhinos (Desert horned lizard). Its description in RNAcentral is "tRNA-OTHER". It matches the Rfam family "tRNA". Rfam says of the family: Transfer RNA (tRNA) molecules are approximately 80 nucleotides in length. Their secondary structure includes four short double-helical elements and three loops (D, anti-codon, and T loops). The record is from RNAcentral. Lineage: Eukaryota; Metazoa; Chordata; Lepidosauria; Squamata; Phrynosomatidae.
GCAAGUGUAGUGUAAUGGUUUGAGCUCUGGACUACAGCUCUAGGAGACCAGGGUUCGAAUCCCUGCUCAGACU